GAGGUGACUUCAUCAAUGCUCCUACCCCGAGUUCUUGAGACAGACCUGGACCGAUCCCCUACCUUGGGUGUGCACUGUUGGGAGAACGAGGGGCGGAGGGUCCGAAUCUCCUCUCAGCCUUUAAGCUCACCUGGUCAGAAUCCUUGGAUGAGCCUGUGGGACCGUUCCUCCUAGCCCUGUGGUUUGGAACCAGUGGCUUUGGGACUGUAAGAGGAUGGACAAAGGUAGUAUGAGGCCGGGACAGCUCCCCAAAUGCUCGGGCGCCAAGCAUCUGCUGAUUCCACUCUGUGCCUGGCACUUGUGUCUUUCGGUCCUGGCUAGGCCUUGCCACCUCCCCCUGGGCCAGCACCACCCAUGUACCUGUCGGCAGAGCCACAGUUGACUGACUUGCUGUUGAGCUGCUGCUCUUUAGCACGGCUGCAUUUUGAUGGCAGAGGGAGCAGUUAUGCCCAGAGCCCAGCGUGUCGGCAUCACCAGUCUGACCUGAGCACCAUGUGCUGCACGACAUGACACGUGGCACCGGGGGAACUGCCCAGCGUGGAAGGUCUGGGCCAGGUCUGAGCCCAGAUGGGAUCUGGAUGGCCAAGGAACUCUACCUUAAAACCUCAAGUGUCAAGGAGGCAGGGGAGGGGCCAAGAGGGCUGGCAGGGGAAGGGGGCUGGGGAGGGGUCCCAUUUGCAGAGGCUCUAGGAUCUUAGGAGGCCCGAAUCCACCAUUUCUCUCUUGCUAGAUUCUCAGGGGCUGCUAGAUUCAUCCCUGAUGGCAUCAGGCACUGCCAGCCGCUCAGAGGAUGAGGAGUCACUGGCAGGGCAGAAGCGAGCCUCCUCCCAGGCCUUGGGCACCAUCCCUAAACGGAGAAGCUCCUCCAGGUUCAUCAAGAGGAAGAAGUUCGAUGAUGAGCUGGUGGAGAGCAGCCUGGCAAAAUCUUCUACCCGGGCAAAGGGGGCCAGUGGGGUGGAACCAGGGCGCUGUUCGGGGAGUGAACCCUCCUCCAGUGAGAAGAAGAAGGUAUCCAAAGCCCCCAGCACUCCUGUGCCACCCAGCCCAGCCCCAGCCCCUGGACUCACCAAGCGCGUGAAGAAGAGUAAACAGCCACUUCAGGUGACCAAGGAUCUGGGCCGCUGGAAGCCUGCAGAUGACCUCCUGCUCAUAAAUGCUGUGUUGCAGACCAACGACCUGACCUCCGUCCACCUGGGCGUGAAAUUCAGCUGCCGCUUCACCCUUCGGGAGGUCCAGGAGCGUUGGUACGCCCUGCUCUACGAUCCUGUCAUCUCCAAGUUGGCCUGUCAGGCCAUGAGGCAGCUGCACCCAGAGGCUAUUGCAGCCAUCCAGAGCAAGGCCCUGUUUAGCAAGGCUGAGGAGCAGCUGCUGAGCAAAGUGGGAUCGACCAGCCAGCCCACCUUGGAGACCUUCCAGGACCUGCUGCACAGACACCCUGAUGCCUUCUACCUGGCCCGUACCGCGAAGGCCCUGCAGGCCCACUGGCAGCUCAUGAAGCAGUAUUACCUGCUGGAGGACCAGACAGUGCAGCCGCUGCCCAAAGGGGACCAAGUGCUGAACUUCUCUGAUGCAGAGGACCUGAUUGAUGACAGUAAGCUCAAGGACAUGCGAGAUGAGGUCCUGGAACAUGAGCUGAUGGUGGCUGACCGGCGCCAGAAGCGAGAGAUUCGGCAGCUGGAACAGGAACUGCAUAAGUGGCAGGUGCUAGUGGACAGCAUCACAGGCAUGAGCUCUCCGGACUUCGACAACCAGACACUGGCAGUGCUGCGGGGCCGCAUGGUGCGGUACCUGAUGCGCUCGCGUGAGAUUACCCUGGGCAGAGCAACCAAGGAUAACCAGAUUGAUGUGGACCUGUCUCUGGAGGGUCCGGCCUGGAAGAUAUCCCGGAAACAAGGUGUCAUCAAGCUGAAGAACAACGGUGAUUUCUUCAUUGCCAAUGAGGGUCGACGGCCCAUCUACAUCGAUGGACGGCCGGUGCUCUGUGGCUCCAAAUGGCGCCUCAGCAACAACUCUGUGGUGGAGAUCGCCAGCCUGCGAUUCGUCUUCCUUAUCAACCAGGACCUCAUUGCCCUCAUCCGGGCUGAGGCUGCCAAGAUCACACCACAGUGAGGAGUGGUGGCAGGACUCGUGGGCCCUCUCCGGCCUGUUUCCCCUGCCACUCCAGCCCCCUUGAGCUGGGAACUCAGGCUCCUGGAAAAACCUGGGCAGUGGGAGGCUCAGCUGCGGGCCAUUGAUUUGAGCCUUUGAGGGAGGAUAGGGCUGGCCUUUGUGAAGCCAGCAGAGGCUGAGAACUUCAGGCUUCCCUAGAUCCAGAGCCCCUCCCCAUCUUCCUCUCUCUAAAAACAACCCUACCCCCCAUUGCCACCUUCACUCCUGUGUCUCCAGCUGAUUAGCCUCAGACUCUUAUUGUUUUUCUUUUGUAAAUAAAAAGCACCAGGUUCCAAA
RNAcentral lists this small RNA (2445 nucleotides) under Pan troglodytes (chimpanzee). RNAcentral's name for it is "retained intron". Lineage: Eukaryota; Metazoa; Chordata; Mammalia; Primates; Hominidae. The record is from RNAcentral.